Molecule: ribosomal RNA, 408 nt
Filed under: uncultured bacterium
Lineage: Bacteria
Description: partial 16S ribosomal RNA
Rfam family: Bacterial small subunit ribosomal RNA
Source: RNAcentral
AUUGAACGCUGGCGGCGUGCCUAAUACAUGCAAGUCGAACGGAGUUGCGCCCGGGUGAGUAAUGUAUAGCUAAUCUGCCCUACACUAGAUGACAACAGUUGGAAACGACUGCUAAUACUCUAUAGUAUAGGAUGAGGCUAUAUUGUAUCAGCUAGUUGGUGGGGUAAUGGCUAACCAAGGGUAUGACGCAUAACUGGUCUGAGAGGAUGAUCAGACAAACUGGAAAUGAGACACGGUACAGACUCCUACGGGAGGGAGCAGUAGGGAAUAGUGCUCAAUGGGGGAAACCCUGACGCAGAAACGACGCGUGGAGGAUGACACUUUUCGGAGCGUAAACUCCUUUUGUUAGGGAAGCGGUACCUAACGAAUAAGCACCGGCUAACUCCGUGCCAGCAGCCGCGGUAAUUC